Molecule: ribosomal RNA, 1018 nt
Filed under: uncultured bacterium
Lineage: Bacteria
Description: bacterial SSU rRNA
Rfam family: Bacterial small subunit ribosomal RNA
Source: RNAcentral
AGGAAUAUUGGUCAAUGGUCGGCAGACUGAACCAGCCAAGUCGCGUGAGGGAAGACGGCCCUACGGGUUGUAAACCUCUUUUGUCGGAGAGUAAAGUACGCUACGCGUAGCGUAUUGCAAGUAUCCGAAGAAAAAGCAUCGGCUAACUCCGUGCCAGCAGCCGCGGUAAUACGGAGGAUGCGAGCGUUAUCCGGAUUUAUUGGGUUUAAAGGGUGCGUAGGCGGCACGCCAAGUCAGCGGUGAAAUUUCCGGGCUCAACCCGGAAUGUGCCGUUGAAACUGGCGAGCUAGAGUGCACAAGAGGCAGGCGGAAUGCGUGGUGUAGCGGUGAAAUGCAUAGAUAUCACGCAGAACCCCGAUUGCGAAGGCAGCCUGCUAGGGUGCGACAGACGCUGAGGCACGAAAGCGUGGGUAUCGAACAGGAUUAGAUACCCUGGUAGUCCACGCAGUAAACGAUGAAUACUAACUGUUUGCGAUACAAUGUAAGCGGUACAGCGAAAGCGUUAAGUAUUCCACCUGGGGAGUACGCCGGCAACGGUGAAACUCAAAGGAAUUGACGGGGGCCCGCACAAGCGGAGGAACAUGUGGUUUAAUUCGAUGAUACGCGAGGAACCUUACCCGGGCUCAAACGCAGGGGGAAUGCCGGUGAAAGUCGGCAGCUAGUAAUAGUCACCUGCGAGGUGCUGCAUGGUUGUCGUCAGCUCGUGCCGUGAGGUGUCGGCUUAAGUGCCAUAACGAGCGCAACCCCUAUUGACAGUUACUAACGGGUCAAGCCGAGGACUCUGUCGAGACUGCCGGCGCAAGCCGCGAGGAAGGUGGGGAUGACGUCAAAUCAGCACGGCCCUUACGUCCGGGGCGACACACGUGUUACAAUGGCAGGUACAGAAGGCAGCCAGUCAGCAAUGACGCGCGAAUCCCGAAAACCUGUCUCAGUUCGGAUUGGAGUCUGCAACCCGACUCCAUGAAGCUGGAUUCGCUAGUAAUCGUGCAUCAGCCAUGGCGCGGUGAAUACGUUCCCG